Rosa rugosa (rugosa rose) is the source of this 505-nucleotide long non-coding RNA. RefSeq lists it as uncharacterized. The record is from RefSeq and is a predicted model, not a curated record. The transcript is spliced from 5 exons. NCBI's taxonomy places the organism in Eukaryota, Viridiplantae, Streptophyta, Magnoliopsida, Rosales, Rosaceae.
GUUUUGGAGGACUCGAAUCUGCAGGUUUGAAAUGUGGAGAAGACGGAGAUUGCUGGGUCGAUUUCUAUUAGAAUCAAAUUGGUUAUAUGAAUAUGAACCAAGUAAGAUGAGUGGAUUUGCUGGAUAUCUGCGGCAACUGUCCUGCAGUACAGCCUUCUUUGGAGAUGUUGAAGCUUUGGGACGCAGGGAUCUACACCUGGCAACUUCACCAAGAAGAACUUGACUGGAAAUAGAUGUUUAUCUGAGGCCAAAGUCAAUAAGAUUUGUAAAGCUGCUGAGAAGAUAGUGGUAUGUUCAUACUUUACAAUAGGACAAUAUUGCAACAGAUUCAAGUGCACACCAUGAUGAAGAUGGUAUUGAUGAAGAUGGUGCUGAAGAUGUUGCUGAUGAAGAUGAUGCAAACUCUAAUGAGGACUUCUAUUAGAUAUAUUGUUAGCUUCCUUGCUUAAGAAUGAUUGUGCUAUAAAGACCAAAUUUUGAAUAUUUAUCUUUUUCUGAACAUGUA